UUGGCCCGGCGCUUCCUCCAGACGAAGCAGCCCAGCCCGACGACCGCGGCGGCCGUGAAGGCGCCCACCACCACGCCGGCCUUCUUGCCGCCGUUCAUCUCCUCGUGGUCCUCGCCAUCCCCGCUGCCCUGCUCGGCGGCGGCGCUCGCGGCCUUAAUCUCCUCGGCGCCUGCGCCUGCGAGUCGGAGGGAGCCGGGAUUGGGGAGGUCUCGGUCGGAGCCGGAGGUGAUGAGCGG
This 236-nucleotide long non-coding RNA is filed under the name Setaria italica (foxtail millet). Its description in RNAcentral is "long non-coding RNA (SITA_LNC004393)". Lineage: Eukaryota; Viridiplantae; Streptophyta; Magnoliopsida; Poales; Poaceae. The record is from RNAcentral.